GGGCACGUGGCGGAACCGGUAUACGCGCUACCUUGAGGUGGUAGUGGGAGCAAUCCCGUGGAGGUUCAAAUCCUCUCGUGCCCACAA
RNAcentral lists this transfer RNA (87 nucleotides) under Candidatus Yanofskybacteria bacterium CG10_big_fil_rev_8_21_14_0_10_36_16. Its description in RNAcentral is "tRNA-Leu". It matches the Rfam family "tRNA". Rfam says of the family: Transfer RNA (tRNA) molecules are approximately 80 nucleotides in length. Their secondary structure includes four short double-helical elements and three loops (D, anti-codon, and T loops). The record is from RNAcentral. Lineage: Bacteria; Candidatus Yanofskyibacteriota.